Molecule: small RNA, 3455 nt
Filed under: Pan troglodytes (chimpanzee)
Lineage: Eukaryota; Metazoa; Chordata; Mammalia; Primates; Hominidae
Description: processed transcript
Source: RNAcentral
ACUUUCUCAGAAUUCCAUGCACAGUAGUCCUGCAUCUUCCAAUUAUCAACAAACCACUAUCUCACAUAGCCCCUCCAGCCGGUUUGUGCCACCACAGACAAGCUCUGGGAACAGAUUUAUGCCACAGCAAAAUAGCCCAGUGCCUAGUCCAUAUGCCCCACAAAGCCCUGCAGGAUACAUGCCAUAUUCCCAUCCUUCAAGUUACACAACACAUCCACAGAUGCAACAAGCAUCGGUAUCAAGUCCCAUUGUUGCAGGUGGUUUGAGAAACAUACAUGAUAAUAAAGUUUCUGGUCCGUUGUCUGGCAAUUCAGCUAAUCAUCAUGCUGAUAAUCCUAGACAUGGUUCAAGUGAGGACUACCUACACAUGGUGCACAGGCUAAGUAGUGACGAUGGAGAUUCUUCAACAAUGAGGAAUGCUGCAUCUUUUCCCUUGAGAUCUCCACAGCCAGUAUGCUCCCCUGCUGGAAGUGAAGGAACUCCUAAAGGCUCAAGACCACCUUUAAUCCUACAAUCUCAGUCUCUACCUUGUUCAUCACCUCGAGAUGUUCCACCAGAUAUCUUGCUAGAUUCUCCAGAAAGAAAACAAAAGAAGCAGAAGAAAAUGAAAUUAGGCAAGGAUGAAAAAGAGCAGAGUGAGAAAGCGGCAAUGUAUGAUAUAAUUAGUUCUCCAUCCAAGGACUCUACUAAACUUACAUUAAGACUUUCUCGUGUAAGGUCUUCAGACAUGGACCAGCAAGAGGAUAUGAUUUCUGGUGUGGAAAAUAGCAAUGUUUCAGAAAAUGAUAUUCCUUUUAAUGUGCAGUACCCAGGACAGACUUCAAAAACACCCAUUACUCCACAAGAUAUAAACCGCCCACUAAAUGCUGCUCAAUGUUUGUCGCAGCAAGAACAAACAGCAUUCCUUCCAGCAAAUCAAGUGCCUGUUUUACAACAGAACACUUCAGUUGCUGCAAAACAACCCCAGACUUCUGUGGUACAGAAUCAACAACAGAUAUCACAACAGGGACCUAUAUAUGAUGAAGUGGAAUUGGAUGCAUUGGCUGAAAUUGAGCGAAUAGAGAGAGAAUCAGCUAUUGAAAGGGAGCGCUUCUCAAAAGAAGUUCAAGAUAAAGAUAAGCCUUUGAAAAAAAGAAAACAAGAUUCUUACCCACAGGAGGCUGGGGGUGCUACAGGAGGUAAUAGACCAGCUUCUCAGGAGACGGGUUCUACGGGAAAUGGGUCAAGGCCAGCAUUAAUGGUUAGCAUUGAUCUUCAUCAGGCAGGAAGAGUGGACUCUCAGGCUUCUAUAACUCAGGAUUCAGACUCCAUAAAAAAGCCUGAAGAAAUCAAACAAUGUAAUGAUGCACCUGUUUCUGUUCUUCAGGAAGAUAUUGUUGGAAGUCUUAAAUCUACACCAGAAAACCAUCCUGAGACACCUAAAAAAAAGUCUGAUCCUGAGCUUUCGAAGAGUGAAAUGAAACAAAGUGAAAGUAGAUUAGCAGAAUCUAAACCAAAUGAAAACCGAUUGGUGGAGACAAAAUCAAGUGAAAAUAAGUUAGAAACUAAAGUUGAGACCCAAACAGAAGAAAUUAAACAGAAUGAAAGCAGAACAACUGAAUGCAAACAAAACGAGAGCACCAUAGUUGAGCCUAAACAAAAUGAAAAUAGACUGUCUGACACAAAACCAAAUGACAACAAACAAAAUAAUGGCAGAUCAGAAACAACAAAGUCAAGGCCUGAAACCCCAAAGCAAAAGGGUGAAAGCCGGCCUGAGACUCCAAAACAAAAGAGUGAUGGGCAUCCUGAAACCCCAAAACAGAAGGGUGAUGGAAGGCCUGAAACUCCAAAGCAAAAAGGUGAGAGCCGCCCUGAAACUCCAAAGCAAAAAAAUGAAGGGCGACCUGAAACACCAAAACACAGGCAUGACAAUAGGAGGGAUUCUGGAAAGCCAUCUACAGAGAAAAAACCUGACGUGUCUAAACAUAAACAAGAUACUAAAUCUGACUCACCUCGGUUAAAAUCAGAACGAGCUGAAGCCUUAAAGCAGAGACCUGAUGGGCGAUCUGUUUCUGAGUCACUAAGACGUGACCAUGAUAAUAAACAAAAAUCAGAUGACAGGGGUGAAUCAGAGCGACAUCGAGGGGAUCAGUCUAGGGUUCGAAGACCAGAAACAUUGAGAUCCUCUAGUAGAAAUGAACACGGCAUUAAAUCUGAUAGUUCAAAAACUGAUAAACUAGAACGAAAACACAGGCAUGAAUCAGGGGACUCAAGGGAAAGACCAUCUUCUGGGGAACAAAAAUCAAGACCUGACAGUCCUCGUGUUAAACAAGGAGAUUCUAAUAAAUCAAGAUCUGAUAAACUUGGUUUUAAAUCACCAACUAGUAAAGAUGACAAAAGGACAGAGGGUAACAAGAGUAAAGUAGACACUAAUAAAGCACACCCUGACAAUAAGGCAGAAUUUCCAAGUUAUUUGUUGGGGGGCAGGUCUGGUGCGUUGAAAAAUUUUGUCAUUCCGAAAAUCAAGAGGGAUAAAGAUGGCAAUGUUACUCAGGAGACAAAGAAAAUGGAAAUGAAAGGAGAGCCGAAAGACAAAGUAGAAAAAAUAGGAUUAGUUGAAGAUCUAAAUAAAGGAGCUAAGCCUGUAGUUGUGCUACAAAAACUGUCUUUGGAUGAUGUUCAGAAACUUAUUAAAGAUAGAGAGGACAAAUCAAGAAGUUCCCUUAAACCUAUCAAGAAUAAACCAUCAAAGUCAAAUAAAGGUAGUAUAGAUCAAUCAGUGUUAAAAGAAUUACCCCCUGAACUCCUGGCAGAAAUUGAGUCCACCAUGCCACUUUGUGAACGUGUGAAAAUGAACAAACGCAAGCGUAGCACAGUUAAUGAAAAGCCAAAAUAUGCUGAAAUCAGUUCAGAUGAAGAUAAUGAUAGUGAUGAAGCUUUUGAAUAGCUGGCUUCUUCACUACACAGCUACCUCUCUACAACACUGUGAUCACCUGUCUUUGCACUAGACUUGCUAUACCUCGCCUGUCUUCCUACUGGUCCACUGAAAAAGUUCUUCUCUUUUAUCCCUAUCUUCCUUCUUCUGGAGCAAGAGAAUUGAGCCUAGCCAAGAGGGGUCAGCAACCUUGUUUGACUUAAACGGCAUUCAGUGGAAACAGACUAUGGGAGAUCUUCACUUGUGUGCCAACUGACUUAGUCAUAAUGACCAAAAGAAGUGGGAAGACCACCAGUGUUCUACUUUUUCCACCUAGUGUCCAUAGAUUGAGGUGUGACAAGCAAGGGCAGGAAGGACAGAUGCAUGCUGCCAUUUUUAAAUGUAUAUUGCUGAUGGAAGCCCUUCACCUCCUCCAAAGUUUUUAAUGUUAAUUUACUGAUUUUUUUUUAAUUGUGAGCUCUUGAGCUAUGAGCAGUAGACUAUGAAUACUGAACAAAUCUGAAAAAAGUUUUAAAAUUGAAAUAAAAUAUACAGCAAACUU